Molecule: ribosomal RNA, 253 nt
Filed under: uncultured bacterium
Lineage: Bacteria
Description: partial 16S ribosomal RNA
Rfam family: Bacterial small subunit ribosomal RNA
Source: RNAcentral
UACGGAGGGUGCAAGCGUUAUCCGGAUUCACUGGGUUUAAAGGGUGCGUAGGUGGUUUGUAAGUCAGUGGUGAAAGCCCGGAGCUCAACUCCGGAACUGCCAUUGAUACUGCUUAACUUGAAUCAACUUGAGGUGGAUGGAAUAUUACAUGUAGCGGUGAAAUGCUUAGAUAUGUAAUAGAACACCGAUUGACGAAGGCAGUUCACUAAGGUUGUAUUGACACUGAGGCACGAAAGCGUGGGGAUCAAACAGG